Molecule: long non-coding RNA, 199 nt
Filed under: Ananas comosus (pineapple)
Lineage: Eukaryota; Viridiplantae; Streptophyta; Magnoliopsida; Poales; Bromeliaceae
Description: long non-coding RNA (ACOM_LNC041907)
Source: RNAcentral
ACCGGUUCCCGAACGUUGUGAUUUUGGUCACGCAGCGAGGGACCGGUUCCUCACUUGAGAGACCGGUCUCUCACAGACCGGUCUCCUCGAGAGGACCGGUCUCUGAGGACGACACAGGUUUUUAAAAAGGACUUUUUGCAAUCCUAGUCUACUUCUAAGUCUUCUAAACAUAUAAAUAAGCUAUGUGGGUCAUCUAAAA